This 467-nucleotide ribosomal RNA is filed under the name uncultured bacterium. RNAcentral's name for it is "partial 16S ribosomal RNA". It matches the Rfam family "Bacterial small subunit ribosomal RNA", at positions 28 to 507 of the family's 1533-position model. The record is from RNAcentral.
GACGAACGCUGGCGGCGUGCUUAACACAUGCAAGUCGAACGGAAAGGCCUCUUUCGGGGGGUACUCGAGUGACGAACGGGUGAGUAACACUUUAGUAACCUGCCCUUGACUUUGGGAUAACUUCAUGAAACUGGGGCUAAUACCGGAUAGGAGCUCCUGCUGCAGGGUGGGGGUUGGAAAGUUUCGGCGGUUGGGGAUGGACUCGCGGCUGAUCCGCUUGUUGGUGGGGUAGUGGCUUACCAAGGCCUUGACGGGUAGCCGGACUGAGAGGGUGACCGGCCACAGUGGGACUGAGAUAGGGACCAGACUCCUACGGGAGGCAGCAGUGGGGAAUAUUGCACAAUGGGUGGAGGCCUGAUGCAGCAACGCCGUGGGCGGGAUGACGGCCUUCGGGUUGGAAACCGCUUUCGCUCAUGACGAAGCUUUGUGUGACGGUAGUGGGUAAAGAAGCACCGGCUAACUACGUG